GACAGAGGUGCCAAGCGUUAGGCGGAAUCACUGGGCUUAAAGCGUGUGUAGGCGGAUCGUUAAGUGCCUUGUGAAAUCCCACGGCUUAACCGUGGAACUGCUCGGCAUACUGGCGGUCUUGAGCAACCUAGGGGCGAGCGGAACAAAUGGUGGAGCGGUGAAAUGCGUAGAUAUCAUUUGGAACGCCAAUGGUGAAAACAGCUCGCCGGGGGUUUGCUGACGCUGAGACACGAAAGCCAGGGGAGCGAACGGG
This 253-nucleotide ribosomal RNA is filed under the name uncultured bacterium. RNAcentral describes it as "partial 16S ribosomal RNA". It matches the Rfam family "Bacterial small subunit ribosomal RNA", at positions 524 to 776 of the family's 1533-position model. The record is from RNAcentral.